RNAcentral lists this long non-coding RNA (846 nucleotides) under Brassica napus (rape). RNAcentral describes it as "long non-coding RNA (BNAP_LNC026590)". The record is from RNAcentral. Lineage: Eukaryota; Viridiplantae; Streptophyta; Magnoliopsida; Brassicales; Brassicaceae.
GGAUGCCUUUUAUAUGUCAGAGACUCAGAUGACUGUUUCAACCUACUGGAAAAAAUUGUAAGCACCUCUUAGUUUGGUUAGAAAAAAAUAUUAAUUUUCUUUUGUGAUUUCUUGUACACAUUUGUUUGUCUUCCCUAGUCACUGUUGACCUUAACCAAUGCAUUGUUAGUGGAUUUAGAAAAUCCAUGCUAUCUGUAAUAGUCUCACAUAAUGCUGUCUCAGAAAAGUUAAGUUAUUAAAAAGCAUAGAUAUCAGAUAGAUUCCAGGGGGAAAGUUGAGCAGUCGAUUCAGAGCUGUACUUUGUCCUGUUAUGAUCAAAACUUUAUUUGCAGGACGAACCCCUAAUGCAGGAGAGGCCACUGAGCAUCUUAAAUGUAGCCAAAAGCUCGAAAGACUAGUGAUAAUGGCGCAUGUCUGAGGAGGGGUCCCUCUCCCACUUGUAAAGCCACUAAACCAUUGGGCGGAGAUCAGCUAGCCUUCCAAGUCAACAAGUAAGUAUCUUUUCCUGAAUCUGCAUGGGCCCUAUAGAGAAUCGCCUGUGGCUAAGUAAGUCGCUGGAAACGUAUUUUGCAUUACCUGUUGAAUAUCAACCCAUGCUGUCAAGUCAACAGAUGUGUCUGCCUUAAAGAUUGCAGCUGUUGCUGCACUCAAAGUUGGAACAUGCGCUCAUACAACCCCGAGCAUUUGUAGUUAGCGAGUGGUCCAUGAUAAGGCUGUAUUGUUACCAUCUCUGUUAUGGAAACUUUCUGUCUAAUCAAACCUUAGCUUUACUCCUUUGGUGCCUAUACGCAGAUAGUUUCGAGAGGUUCUUUUUGACAAAAGCAUACACUGAAAUGAUUGUAGUAG